CUGGAACAGAUAAUAUAAUAAAGAAGAUUAUUAACUUUAUAAAAGAAGCAAUUUUGAAGAUAAUAUCAAAUAAAUUUCCUCGUCCUAAAGGUGAAGAGUUUCCUUAAAAAAUUCUCCAUUACAAAAUGGAUACUGCUUCUUCUUCAGAAAACUAGGAUUGGAAAACUCUUUACAAUGUGGUCGCUGAAGCAAACGAGGCAAUUGUUUCACAAGUUAAAUAAUUUCUAUUAUCGAUGUCACAAUAUAUCAAUAUCGGAUGUCUUACUACAGAUAUCCAAUUGCAAUGGUCCUCAUCAUUAUUGUGAAAUGAAAAGAUGUAUCUCCUCAUAUUUGUGUUGAAAAUAUCAUAUAAAAUAUAUUGCAUACUAGCGUACUACUGUGAUCAAAAAGUAAGGUGAAUUUGUUUAUAAAAUGAAAAAUCUUUAUUUAUUCUUCCAAAUCAAUUUCAUCGCCUUCAAAGUACUCCCCGUCCGGCACAAUGCACUUAUGCCAACGUUUUUUCCAAUCUUCGAAACAGUCAGAGAAGUCUUUUUCCGGGAUGGCCUUCAAUACUUUCUUCGAUUAGGCUUUUAUCUCCUCAAUCGAGUCGAAACGGUGUCCCCGGAGCGGUCUUUUGAGUUUGUUGAACAGCCAGAAGUCGCACGGUGCUAAAUCAGGCGAAUAUGGUGGUUGUGGAGCGAUAUGGGUCGAAUUUUUGGCGAAAUGUUCUCGGAGAACCAAUGCAGUGUGGGACGGUGCAUUAUCGUGGUGCAAAAACCAAGAAUUGUCUGCCCAUAAUUCUGGCCUCUUGAGGCGAAUAGCUUCACGCAAACGACGCAUAACACUCAAAUAAUAUUCCUUGUUAACAGUUUGAUUUCCUUGACGUGGCUUUCAUCGGUAGAUGUUGAUGGUCGUCCGGGGCGCUGUUCGUUUUGAACUCGUUCUCGGCUUUCUUUGAAGUCUUUGUACCACUUGUAAACAUUUUUU
Molecule: long non-coding RNA, 966 nt
Organism: Harpegnathos saltator (Jerdon's jumping ant)
Lineage: Eukaryota; Metazoa; Arthropoda; Insecta; Hymenoptera; Formicidae
Exons: 3
Source: RefSeq, a predicted model, not a curated record